GAGGAUGCGAGCGUUAUCCGGAUUUAUUGGGUUUAAAGGGUGCGUAGGCUGUGAUGUAAGUCAGCGGUAAAAGCCCGGGGCUCAACCCCGGCGAGCCGUUGAUACUGCAUGACUUGAGAGGCCGAGAGGUAUGCGGAAUGCGCGGUGUAGCGGUGAAAUGCAUAGAUAUCGCGCAGAACUCCGAUUGCGAAGGCAGCAUACCGGCGGCUAUCUGACGCUGAGGCACGAAAGCGUGGGUAUCAAA
This 244-nucleotide ribosomal RNA is filed under the name uncultured bacterium. RNAcentral describes it as "partial 16S ribosomal RNA". It matches the Rfam family "Bacterial small subunit ribosomal RNA", at positions 528 to 772 of the family's 1533-position model. The record is from RNAcentral.